GACGAACGCUGGCGGCGUGCUUAACACAUGCAAGUCGAACGGAAAGGCCUCUUUCGGGGGGUACUCGAGUGGCGAACGGGUGAGUAACACGUGAGUAACCUGCCCUUGACUUUGGGAUAACUUCAGGCAACUGGGGCUAAUACCGGAUAGGAGCUCCUGCUGCAUGGUGGGUGUUGGAAAGUUUCGGCGGUUGGGGAUGGACUCGCGGCUUAUCAGCUUGUUGGGAGGGUAGUGGCUUACCAAGGCUUUGACGGGGAACCGGCCUGAGAGGGUGACCGGCCACAUUGGGACUGAGAGACGGCCCAGACUCCUACGGGAGGCAGCAGUGGGGAAUAUUGCACAAUGGGUGGAAGCCUGAUGCAGCAACGCCGUGUGCGGGAUGACGGUCUUCGGGUGGUAAACCGCUUUCGCUCAUGACGAAGCUUUGUGUGACGGUAGUGGGUAAAGAAGCACCGGCUAACUACGUG
This 467-nucleotide ribosomal RNA is filed under the name uncultured bacterium. RNAcentral's name for it is "partial 16S ribosomal RNA". It matches the Rfam family "Bacterial small subunit ribosomal RNA", at positions 28 to 507 of the family's 1533-position model. The record is from RNAcentral.